UACGAAGGGGGCUAGCGUUGCUCGGAAUCACUGGGCGUAAAGCGUGCGCAGGCGGUUUUGUAAGUUUGUCGUGAAAGCCCCGGGCUCAACCUGGGAAUUGCGAUGAAGACUGCAAGGCUUGAAUCUGGCAGAGGGGGGUAGAAUUCCACGUGUAGCAGUGAAAUGCGUAGAGAUGUGGAGGAACACCGAUGGCGAAGGCAGCCCCCUGGGUCAAGAUUGACGCUCAUGCACGAAAGCGUGGGGAGCAAACAGG
Molecule: ribosomal RNA, 253 nt
Filed under: uncultured bacterium
Lineage: Bacteria
Description: partial 16S ribosomal RNA
Rfam family: Bacterial small subunit ribosomal RNA
Source: RNAcentral